UGCAAGUCGAACGAACUCUGGUAUUGAUUGGUGCUUGCAUCAUGAUUUACAUUUGAGUGAGUGGCGAACUGGUGAGUAACACGUGGGAAACCUGCCCAGAAGCGGGGGAUAACACCUGGAAACAGAUGCUAAUACCGCAUAACAACUUGGACCGCAUGGUCCGAGUUUGAAAGAUGGCUUCGGCUAUCACUUUUGGAUGGUCCCGCGGCGUAUUAGCUAGAUGGUGGGGUAACGGCUCACCAUGGCAAUGAUACGUAGCCGACCUGAGAGGGUAAUCGGCCACAUUGGGACUGAGACACGGCCCAAACUCCUACGGGAGGCAGCAGUAGGGAAUCUUCCACAAUGGACGAAAGUCUGAUGGAGCAACGCCGCGUGAGUGAAGAAGGGUUUCGGCUCGUAAAACUCUGUUGUUAAAGAAGAACAUAUCUGAGAGUAACUGUUCAGGUAUUGACGGUAUUUAACCAGAAAGCCACGGCUAACUACGUGCCAGCAGCCGCGGUAAUACGUAGGUGGCAAGCGUUGUCCGGAUUUAUUGGGCGUAAAGCGAGCGCAGGCGGUUUUUUAAGUCUGAUGUGAAAGCCUUCGGCUCAACCGAAGAAGUGCAUCGGAAACUGGGAAACUUGAGUGCAGAAGAGGACAGUGGAACUCCAUGUGUAGCGGUGAAAUGCGUAGAUAUAUGGAAGAACACCAGUGGCGAAGGCGGCUGUCUGGUCUGUAACUGACGCUGAGGCUCGAAAGUAUGGGUAGCAAACAGGAUUAGAUACCCUGGUAGUCCAUACCGUAAACGAUGAAUGCUAAGUGUUGGAGGGUUUCCGCCCUUCAGUGCUGCAGCUAACGCAUUAAGCAUUCCGCCUGGGGAGUACGGCCGCAAGGCUGAAACUCAAAGGAAUUGACGGGGGCCCGCACAAGCGGUGGAGCAUGUGGUUUAAUUCGAAGCUACGCGAAGAACCUUACCAGGUCUUGACAUACUAUGCAAAUCUAAGAGAUUAGACGUUCCCUUCGGGGACAUGGAUACAGGUGGUGCAUGGUUGUCGUCAGCUCGUGUCGUGAGAUGUUGGGUUAAGUCCCGCAACGAGCGCAACCCUUAUUAUCAGUUGCCAGCAUUAAGUUGGGCACUCUGGUGAGACUGCCGGUGACAAACCGGAGGAAGGUGGGGAUGACGUCAAAUCAUCAUGCCCCUUAUGACCUGGGCUACACACGUGCUACAAUGGAUGGUACAACGAGUUGCGAACUCGCGAGAGUAAGCUAAUCUCUUAAAGCCAUUCUCAGUUCGGAUUGUAGGCUGCAACUCGCCUACAUGAAGUCGGAAUCGCUAGUAAUCGCGGAUCAGCAUGCCGCGGUGAAUACGUUCCCGGGCCUUGUACACACCGCCCGUCACACCAUGAGAGUUUGUAACACCCAAAGUCGGUGGGGUAACCUUUUAGGAACCAGCCGCCUAAGUG
Molecule: ribosomal RNA, 1442 nt
Filed under: Lactiplantibacillus plantarum
Lineage: Bacteria; Bacillati; Bacillota; Bacilli; Lactobacillales; Lactobacillaceae
Description: bacterial SSU rRNA
Rfam family: Bacterial small subunit ribosomal RNA
Source: RNAcentral